GCUGGAAGGUUAAGGGGAUCUGUUAGAGCAAUCGAAGCAGUGAACUUAAGCCCCAGUAAACGGCGGCCGUAACUAUAACGGUCCUAAGGUAGCGAAAUUCCUUGUCGGGUAAGUGCCGACCCGCACGAAAGGCGUAACGAUUUGGGCACUGUCUCAACAACAGACUCGGUGAAAUUGUAAUUCCGGUGAAGAUGCCGGAUACCUGCGACAGGACGGAAAGACCCCAUGGAGCUUUACUGUAG
This 242-nucleotide ribosomal RNA is filed under the name Clostridioides difficile. RNAcentral describes it as "partial 23S ribosomal RNA". It matches the Rfam family "Bacterial large subunit ribosomal RNA", at positions 1868 to 2109 of the family's 2925-position model. Lineage: Bacteria; Bacillati; Bacillota; Clostridia; Peptostreptococcales; Peptostreptococcaceae. The record is from RNAcentral.